This 440-nucleotide ribosomal RNA is filed under the name uncultured bacterium. Its description in RNAcentral is "partial 16S ribosomal RNA". It matches the Rfam family "Bacterial small subunit ribosomal RNA", at positions 338 to 795 of the family's 1533-position model. The record is from RNAcentral.
CCUACGGGGGGCAGCAGUAGGGAAUAUUGCUCAAUGGGGGAAACCCUGAAGCAGCAACGCCGCGUGGAGGAUGAAGGUUUUCGGAUUGUAAACUCCUUUUGUUAGAGAAGAUAAUGACGGUAUCUAACGAAUAAGCACCGGCUAACGCCGUGCCAGCAGCCGCGGUAAUACGGAGGCUGCAAGCGUUACUCGGAAUCACUGGGCGUAAAGGGCGCGUAGACGGGAUAGCAAGUCAGAUGUGAAAUCCUAUGGCUUAACCAUAGAACUGCAUUUGAAACUGUUAUUCUAGAGUAUGGGAGAGGUAGGUGGAAUUCUUGGUGUAGGGGUAAAAUCCGUAGAGAUCAAGAGGAAUACUCAUUGCGAAGGCGACCUGCUAGAACAUAACUGACGCUGAUGCGCGAAAGCGUGGGGAGCAAACAGGAUUAGAUACCCGUGUAGUC